AGUGAACGUUGGCGGCGUGGAUUAGGCAUGCGAGUCGAGCGAGAACCGUAGCAAUACGGGGACAGCGGCGAAAGGGACAGUAAUAUGUAGGUACCCACCCUCGGGUCCGGGAUAGCUGCGGGAAACUGCAGGUAAUACCGGAUGACAUCUCCGGAUCAAAGGUGUGAUUCCGCCCGGGGAGGGGCCUGCAUCCUAUUAGCUUGUUGGUGGGGUAACGGCCUACCAGGGCGACGAUGGGUAGCGGGUGUGAGAGCAUGACCCGCGUCAUUGGGACUGAGACACGGCCCAGACACCUACGGGUGGCUGCAGUCGAGAAUCUUCGGCAAUGGGGGCAACCCUGACCGAGCGACGCCGCGUGCGGGAUGAAGGCCUUCGGGUUGUAAACCGCUGUCGUAGAGGAGGAAAUGCAGUGGGGUUCUCCCCUCUGUUUGACCUAUUCUAGGAGGAAGGACGGGCUAAGUUCGUGCCAGCCGCCGCAGUAA
Molecule: ribosomal RNA, 482 nt
Filed under: uncultured bacterium
Lineage: Bacteria
Description: partial 16S ribosomal RNA
Rfam family: Bacterial small subunit ribosomal RNA
Source: RNAcentral